RNAcentral lists this ribosomal RNA (253 nucleotides) under uncultured bacterium. RNAcentral's name for it is "partial 16S ribosomal RNA". It matches the Rfam family "Bacterial small subunit ribosomal RNA", at positions 524 to 776 of the family's 1533-position model. The record is from RNAcentral.
UACGGGGGGGGCAAGCGUUGUUCGGAAUUACUGGGCGUAAAGGGCGCGUAGGCGGCUUUGCGUGUCUUUCGUGAAAUCCCUCGGCUCAACUGAGGACGUGCGGAAGAAACUGCAGGGCUGGAGUCCGGGAGAGGAGGGUGGAAUUCCCAGUGUAGCGGUGAAAUGCGUAGAUAUUGGGAGGAACACCGGUGGUGAAGGCGGCCCUCUGGACCGGUACUGACGCUGAUGCGCGAAAGCGUGGGGAGCAAACGGG